This 483-nucleotide ribosomal RNA is filed under the name uncultured bacterium. Its description in RNAcentral is "partial 16S ribosomal RNA". It matches the Rfam family "Bacterial small subunit ribosomal RNA", at positions 28 to 507 of the family's 1533-position model. The record is from RNAcentral.
GACGAACGCUGGCGGCGUGCUUAACACAUGCAGGUCGAACGCUGAAGCUCAGCCUUUGUUGGGUGGAUGAGUGGCGAACGGGUGAGUAACACGUGAGUAACCUGCCCCCUUCUUUGGGAUAACGCCCGGAAACGGGUGCUAAUACUGGAUAUUCACUGGUCUUCGCAUGGGGGUUGGUGGAAAGGGUUUUUCUGGUGGGGGAUGGGCUCGCGGCCUAUCAGCUUGUUGGUGGGGUGAUGGCCUACCAAGGCUUUGACGGGUAGCCGGCCUGAGAGGGUGACCGGUCACAUUGGGACUGAGAUACGGCCCAGACUCCUACGGGAGGCAGCAGUGGGGAAUAUUGCACAAUGGGCGCAAGCCUGAUGCAGCGACGCCGCGUGAGGGAUGGAGGCCUUCGGGUUGUGAACCUCUUUCGCUCAUGGUCAAGCCGCAACAAUGGUUGUGGUGAGGGUAGUGGGUAAAGAAGCGCCGGCUAACUACGUG